GACGAACGCUGGCGGCGUGCUUAACACAUGCAAGUCGAACGGAAAGGCCCCCAUCUUGUUGGGGUGGCUCGAGUGGCGAACGGGGGAGUAACACGGGGGUGAUCUGCCCUGUACGUCGGGAUAAGCGUGGGAAACUGGGUCUAAUACCGGAUAGGACCAUGGUUUAUUGUCUCAUGUGGGAAAGAUUAUUGUUUUGGUGCAGGAUGAGCUCGCGGCCUAUCAGCUUGUGGGUUGGGUAAUGGCCUACCAAGGGGUCGACGGGUGGGCGGCCUGGGAGGGUGGACGACCAGACAGAGACGGACAGACGCACGAGCCAGACACGGGCGGCAGGAGUGAGGAAUGUAGAACACUGGGUGGAAGAAUGAUGGAGCGAGGACGCGUGGGGGAUGACGGCCUUCGGGUUGUAAACACCCUUCGUUAGGGACGAAGACAAACUUUUAUCGGGUGUGCAGAAGGUACCCUUGUUAAGAAGCACCGGCUAACUACGUG
RNAcentral lists this ribosomal RNA (489 nucleotides) under uncultured bacterium. RNAcentral describes it as "partial 16S ribosomal RNA". It matches the Rfam family "Bacterial small subunit ribosomal RNA", at positions 28 to 507 of the family's 1533-position model. The record is from RNAcentral.